GCAAUUUCUUUCUUCUGAUUUUUUUUUUUUGAAAUUCUUGAAUUGAACAUGGUUGAGCAUGCCGACUUCAAUCCCCACCCCCUUCAGAUGAUCCACCAUCGAGUCCCCACUCUUCUUCUUCCUCAUCUCUGGUAGCCAACGUGCCGAUACAACCAAGCUCCGCCGACCCCAAAACCCCUCCUUUCUCUCUCUAAACCCUACUGCCCUAUUUUCUUUCCCCUAUUCCAUGCCUUGCCGCCACAAAGCUCACAGGAAACAGUCAUCUCUGGCCAAGUUCCACCACUGCCAUCAAUCUUGGUAACCCCCUCACCUCCUCCGUGUAGUUAUCCGACGAACAGACUCGAAUCUUGGCCCCAUUCCCUUAUUUUUGGGCCAAAUCGAGCCUUCACCAUUCUCGCUCGUGUUCAAUCCAUUCCCAUCAACUGCAACAGUCGUUGGCUGCCAUUGGCUGGCCACCAACGUCCCACUGUCAUGGCUUGGGCGCCAUCACCCACCCCUCUCCAUUUCUUCUCUUCCUUCUUUUCCUUCUCUUCCUCCUCUCCAUUUUAUCUUCUUCCAUCUAAUCUUCCUUUCUUCCCAUUUUUAUUUAUUUAUUAAUAUCUACAAAUCCUCUUUUUCUCUCUCUACUUGACUCAUCAACUAGAUGCAUUGAUUGAUCUAGAUCAUGGAUAGAACAAAUCCAAAGCCCUCAGUAAACCUGGGUCAAGUCUCACUUUUUUUUAUUUUAGUCGACUCAGACUGAAAAACCCAGGUCCUUGAUUGGAUCUAAACCAAGUAGAUCAGGCCCAAAAGCCCAACUAGCCUCAAAUCUCGUAUCUCUCUCCUUCCUAUAUUAUUUAGCCCAUGGACUACAGUGAUUUAGCCACAUGGCCAACGAACAAAAAUCCGACCCUAAUUGAACAUAGACUAAGUCUCUCUCUAUCCUCUCUACCUCGAUUAGUUGACCCAGAUCGAGCCUAAUUUCUUCUAGUUAGUCUAAUUUUCUUUUAAUUGAUAGAUUCGAUCUAACCUAGAAAUAUUAAUUUGAUCAGGUGGAAGCCCGGGUCUGGAUAGCAAGGAAGCAUGAUCGAGACCUGAUCCAUUGCAUUCAAGUAACCACGAAUCCCACCUCCUGGUGAAAUUUAUGUUUUGAUCCAAGGGAUGGUUAAGACUCUUAGAUGUUAGACUAGUUUCGGUAGGCUAGUUUAAUCAUACUCUUGAUCUAGUCUAUAUUUUUUGAAAAUUAAUCUAUUCCUAUUAAGUAUUGUAUGCAUCCUGCAUAAAAUUGAAUAGUAAAAUAUUGGAUCAAGUAUGCUAUGAUUUGCUUGGGUAUGAAUCGUACUUUAUUGCAUUGAUAAAUGUGUUGAUAUCAUAUGUGUUCUGAUCGUGCUAGUCUCUAGUCCAACUAUGAUCGCAUGGGCUUAGGAUCUAGUCUCCUUCCAGGCCUCUAGUGGGGCGAUCACUGGUGCAUGCUGGCUGACGACGUGAUGUAGUCAAGAGCUAAUUUCUUUUUCGGCCUAGCCAGUUGAGACUAAUUGCUGGCAUAUGCUGAUGUAAGUAUGUUCUUUCGUGUGAUUUUGGAGCUAGUUUUCUUCGAAGCCUCCAGUGGGGCAAUCACUGCACAUGACCAAUAGAUGGUAUGUUGUAGUUAGGAUCUAGUCUCUUUCAGAGUUUGCCACAAGCCAACCAUAGCCAUAGUCGCAAGGACUAGGAAAGCGAUGGGCCAUCUCUGGUUGUUUUGGAGAAUUUAUUUUUAUCCAAAUGCACUAUAUAUUUUGAAACCUAUGUUGAUAAACAUAAUAUGAUUUAUGUAUUAUUCGGUAUGUUGUUGUUUAUGGAAAAUCAAGCAAAAAUUAAAUUUCUUGUGCAAUAUACUUGAUCUUACUAAAGAUUUUGGUAACUUACUAGGUUGUGAAGCUUAUUACCUCUCUUCUAAUAUUUUUUUACAGACACAACCGAAUAGACGAGGCUUGGGACUAAGCAUUAAGGAGCUUAGGGUUUAGAAAAUAUUUGAUUUGUGUUUCUUAGAAUAAUUUGAUGUGUUAUUAUCAUUAGUGAUUGUGGACUAUUGAAUAAAUGUGUUGGAUUAUUAAUUCCCACCACUACCGGAG
This 2090-nucleotide long non-coding RNA is filed under the name Phoenix dactylifera (date palm). RNAcentral describes it as "long non-coding RNA (PDAC_LNC013339)". The record is from RNAcentral. Lineage: Eukaryota; Viridiplantae; Streptophyta; Magnoliopsida; Arecales; Arecaceae.